Molecule: long non-coding RNA, 187 nt
Organism: Haliotis rubra (blacklip abalone)
Lineage: Eukaryota; Metazoa; Mollusca; Gastropoda; Lepetellida; Haliotidae
Exons: 3
Source: RefSeq, a predicted model, not a curated record
UCUCAUUUAUCUCUACAAUUUAUGUAGUUGAUAUGUGAAAGUGUGAAAUAUCUGCCCGCCUAACCACAGUCUCAGUGGCAGAGAGAUAAGAAACGGAGAAAAAUGACUUUCCUGAGGGGAAAUUAGUGCAAAAUUGAGCAAUGCGGUUUUUUCUAAACAUAUUUUUCUAAGUUUUGCCCGAUUUUAC